AUUGAACGCUGGCGGCAGGCCUAACACAUGCAAGUCGAGCGGAUGAAGGGAGCUUGCUCCUGGAUUCAGCGGCGGACGGGUGAGUAAUGCCCAGGAAUCUGCCUGGUAGUGGGGGAUAACGUCCGGAAACGGGCGCUAAUACCGCAUACGUCCUGAGGGAGAAAGUGGGGGAUCUUCGGACCUCACGCUAUCAGAUGAGCCUAGGUCGGAUUAGCUAGUUGGUGGGGUAAAGGCCUACCAAGGCGACGAUCCGUAACUGGUCUGAGAGGAUGAUCAGUCACCCUGGAACUGAGCCACGGUCCAGACUACUACGGGAGGCCGCAGUGGGGAAUAUUGGACAGAGGGCGAAAGCCUGAUACAGCGAUGCCGCGUGUGUGAAGAAGGUCUUCGGAUUGUAAAGCACUUUAAGUUGGGAGGAAGGGCAGUAAGUUAAUACCUUGCUGUUUUGACGUUACCAACAGAAUAAGCACCGGCUAACUUCGUG
RNAcentral lists this ribosomal RNA (484 nucleotides) under uncultured bacterium. RNAcentral describes it as "partial 16S ribosomal RNA". It matches the Rfam family "Bacterial small subunit ribosomal RNA", at positions 30 to 507 of the family's 1533-position model. The record is from RNAcentral.